UGGCGGACGGGUGAGUAACGCGUGGGUAACCUGCCCUGUACAGGGGGAUAACAGUUGGAAACGGCUGCUAAAACCGCAUAACAUGGAGAUACCGCAUGAUAUUUCCAUCAAAUAUUUAUAGGUACAGGAUGGGCCCGCGUCUGAUUAGCCAGUUGGCGGGGUAAUGGCCUACCAAAGCGACGAUCAGUAGCCGGCUUGAGAGAGUGACCGGCCACAUUGGGACUGAGACACGGCCCAAACUCCUACGGGAGGCAGCAG
RNAcentral lists this ribosomal RNA (258 nucleotides) under uncultured bacterium. Its description in RNAcentral is "partial 16S ribosomal RNA". It matches the Rfam family "Bacterial small subunit ribosomal RNA", at positions 96 to 354 of the family's 1533-position model. The record is from RNAcentral.